Molecule: non-coding RNA, 98 nt
Filed under: unclassified sequences
Description: pemK RNA
Rfam family: pemK RNA
Source: RNAcentral
AUAAUGAUACUCCCGUACAGCCAUAGUCCGAGCGUUAGAAGCGUCGCAGGCAAAGGGUACGGCUGCAUGAAAACCAUGCAGGGGUGGGAUUCCCGUGA